Molecule: ribosomal RNA, 497 nt
Filed under: uncultured bacterium
Lineage: Bacteria
Description: partial 16S ribosomal RNA
Rfam family: Bacterial small subunit ribosomal RNA
Source: RNAcentral
GAUGAACGCUGGCGGCGUGCCUAAUACAUGCAAGUCGAGCGAACAGACGAGGAGCUUGCUCCUCUGACGUUAGCGGCGGACGGGUGAGUAACACGUGGAUAACCUACCUAUAAGACUGGGAUAACUUCGGGAAACCGGAGCUAAUACCGGAUAAUAUAUUGAACCGCAUGGUUCAAUAGUGAAAGACGGUCUUGCUGUCACUUAUAGAUGGAUCCGCGCUGCAUUAGCUAGUUGGUAAGGUAACGGCUUACCAAGGCAACGAUGCGUAGCCGACCUGAGAGGGUGAUCGGCCACACUGGAACUGAGACACGGUCCAGACUCCUACGGGAGGCAGCAGUAGGGAAUCUUCCGCAAUGGGCGAAAGCCUGACGGAGCAACGCCGCGUGAGUGAUGAAGGUCUUCGGAUCGUAAAACUCUGUUAUUAGGGAAGAACAAAUGUGUAAGUAACUGUGCACGUCCUGACGGUACCUAAUCAGAAAGCCACGGCUAACUACGUG